CCCACUCAAAUAUUUCAUUUCCUCUCUAAAUGCAUUUGUGCCCCCUCUCUGUCUCCUAGUUUCUGCCUGUGAGCAAUUCUCCUCCAAAUUCACGAUCUCCAUGAGUUUUUCUCUUCGAGCCAUUUGAGGAGAGAAGACCGACGAGAAGACCCCGCUUUUUGAACCGAGGAGAAGAGCAAUCACCAUGAGUUUCUCUCUUUUGGGUUGUGCUCUUGAAUUGAGGAUUUUUCAGCAUGACUGACGAUGCCUUUUUGAAUAUAUAUAUCCCAAAGCAACUGUGAAGCAGCCACAGAGAAGGAAAGCUUACAAGAAUGAGAACUAGGCAUAUAGAUCACACAAGGCUCAUGUUGAGGGAGACGAGAUUGAGAGUCAAUGAGUAUAACUCACUUCGACCGGAGAAUGCUACUCGGUUCUUAUAUUGCCUAUGUUUUUGUUUCACUAGGCUUUUGCCUAUGUUUUUGGAACUUGACUAGGCUUUUUGAUUGCCUAUGAUAAUUUUUUCUUGGACUACAUCUAUGUACAUAGUUACUCACUUUGGAGUCUUGUGAACAAUAGUAUAUUAUUUUGCCUUACAUGUACUUUGCUAGAGGUUUAUGAAUUGUGACUAUUGCAUUGUGAUUU
Molecule: long non-coding RNA, 621 nt
Organism: Olea europaea var. sylvestris
Lineage: Eukaryota; Viridiplantae; Streptophyta; Magnoliopsida; Lamiales; Oleaceae
Exons: 2
Source: RefSeq, a predicted model, not a curated record